GAUGAACGCUGGCGGCAUGUUUAACACAUGCAAGUCGGACGGGAAGUGGUGUUUCCUGUGGCGGACGGGUGAGUAACGCGUAAGAACCUGCCCUUGGGAGGGGAACAACAACUGGAAACGGUUGCUAAUACCCCGUAGGCUGAGCAGCAAAAGGAGGACUCCGCCCGAGGAGGGGCUUGCGUCUGAUUAGCUAGUUGGUGAGGUAAUAGCUUACCAAGGCGGUGAUCAGUAGCUGGUCCGAGCGGAUGAUCAGCCAGACUGGGACUGAGGCACGGCACAGACUCGGACGGGAGGCGUGAGUAGGGAAUUUUCCGCAAUGGGCGAAAGACGGACGGAGCAAUGCCGCGUGGAGGUGGAGGGCCCACGGGUCGUGAACUUCUUUUCUCGGGGAAGAAGCGAGGACGGAAUCGGAGGAAUAGGCAUCGGCAAACUCUGG
RNAcentral lists this ribosomal RNA (436 nucleotides) under uncultured bacterium. RNAcentral's name for it is "partial 16S ribosomal RNA". It matches the Rfam family "Bacterial small subunit ribosomal RNA", at positions 28 to 506 of the family's 1533-position model. The record is from RNAcentral.